This 72-nucleotide transfer RNA is filed under the name Camelus bactrianus (Bactrian camel). It matches the Rfam family "tRNA". Rfam says of the family: Transfer RNA (tRNA) molecules are approximately 80 nucleotides in length. Their secondary structure includes four short double-helical elements and three loops (D, anti-codon, and T loops). Lineage: Eukaryota; Metazoa; Chordata; Mammalia; Artiodactyla; Camelidae. RNAcentral also lists the same sequence under 1 other name. The record is from Rfam by way of RNAcentral.
GAGGGUAUAGCUCAGUGGUAGAGAGCCUGCUUAGCAUGCAUGAGGUCCCGGGUUCAUUCCCCAGUAACUACA